This is a non-coding RNA of Corylus avellana, 524 nucleotides long. The record is from RefSeq and is a predicted model, not a curated record. NCBI's taxonomy places the organism in Eukaryota, Viridiplantae, Streptophyta, Magnoliopsida, Fagales, Betulaceae.
CCUCUAUUUAUUGAUCAAAUAUUCUCCUCUUUUUCCAUGUGGUGCCAUGGUUGAGGCUUAUUCAAUAGAAAGUAUAAUUUGUAAUACAGUGGGGAUCAAUCAGAGUUUUCAUGGCUAUGAUCUAGUUAGCUUAACCAACUUCAAUUUCAUGUGCUUUUUUGUAACUUUACAAAGUUGAACUGAAGUUUGUGACUUUGUUCUGCAGCUUGAUGUGAUAUUGCAACUCAGAUACAAGUGAAGGAAGAUGGAUCUAAGAGGAGCAGAGACUUGCAUAAAAAAUCAUCAAUUGAUGAAGUGGAUGUGAGAAUCAUUGGGGGAUUUCUACAAUAUUCUGGGAUAUGUCAGCCUCACUUGUACUCGAAACAAUGGAAACUAUACAGAGCACUUUCAUGAUGGGGAAGAUCGGGUUUCUUUCACUUGCUUGAAAGCAUUUUAAUCCCAAAAGGUAGUGAGAAUGCUUGCUUGUCUUCAAGUGAAAUCGGUUGUUGUGCUGACCGGAAUUGAAGAUCAUGUUAGCCAACCAC